This 1099-nucleotide small RNA is filed under the name uncultured Antarctic cyanobacterium. RNAcentral describes it as "bacterial SSU rRNA". The stretch from base 1 to 374 matches the Rfam family "Bacterial small subunit ribosomal RNA", at positions 1161 to 1533 of the family's 1533-position model. Lineage: Bacteria; Bacillati; Cyanobacteriota. The record is from RNAcentral.
AACCGGAGGAAGGUGUGACGACGUCAAGUCAGCAUGCCCCUUACGCCCUGGGCUACACACGUACUACAAUGCUACGGACAGAGGGUUGCGAGCUAGCGAUAGCAAGCUAAUCCCGUAAACCGUGGCUCAGUUCAGACUGCAGGCUGCAACUCGCCUGCAUGAAGGCGGAAUCGCUAGUAAUCGCAGGUCAGCAUACUGCGGUGAAUACGUUCCCGGGCCUUGUACACACCGCCCGUCACACCAUGGGAGUUGGCCACGCCCGAAGUCAUUACUCCAACCCUUCGGGGAGGAGGAUGCCGAAGGCAGGGCUGAUGACUGGGGUGAAGUCGUAACAAGGUAGCCGUACCGGAAGGUGUGGCUGGAUCACCUCCUUUUAGGGAGACCAAACCUCAAGAAAGAAACACUUAAGGCAAGCAGAUUCAAACUUGCUUAACCUUGGGAAUUAUAUUGAUAUUCUUUCUUUAGGUCAUCCCAAGGUCGUUCGAGGUUAUGAUAUCAAGGCUUUCAAACUAUUUGGGUUUGGUAAACGCGAAAUUCAGCAAGCAAAAAGCUUCACAGUUCAGCCUUGCCUAUUAGCAUCACCCCUACCCAUGGGCUAUUAGCUCAGGUGGUUAGAGCGCACCCCUGAUAAGGGUGAGGUCCCUGGUUCGAGUCCAGGAUGGCCCACCUUAGAGACUUAAGAUUUUAGAUUUGAUAUCUUUUUUAGUAAAGGCAACAGAACUAGAAUCUAAGCCGAAGCUGGGGGUAUAGCUCAGUUGGUAGAGCGCUGCCUUUGCAAGGCAGAUGUCAGCGGUUCGAGUCCGCUUACCUCCACUGACACACAGAAAAACCAUCGUCUUAGAAAGGAUAUUCAGCACCUCAUCUAACUUAUUUAGAGAGCUUGCUGGAAUACAUCCAGCCAGAACCUUGAAAACUGCAUAGCAACUAGAAAGGUAGAACCUUGUCAUGCAUAGCGAACUGCAAGUACUAGAGUAAUAUCUAGUCGAGUAGCUAGCCAUGCAUCUGAGACAAGACUAUCACAGACACUAGCGUAAAAAGAAUGAAUUGUGGUCAAGCUACAAAGGGCUUAUGGUGGAUACCUWGGCACACAGAGGCGADG